RNAcentral lists this ribosomal RNA (261 nucleotides) under Halomonhystera disjuncta. Its description in RNAcentral is "partial small subunit ribosomal RNA". It matches the Rfam family "Eukaryotic small subunit ribosomal RNA", at positions 1406 to 1665 of the family's 1831-position model. Lineage: Eukaryota; Metazoa; Nematoda; Chromadorea; Monhysterida; Monhysteridae. The record is from RNAcentral. RNAcentral also lists the same sequence under 1 other name.
ACUUCUUAGAGGGAUAAGCGGUGUUUAACCGCACGAGAUUGAGCGAUAACAGGUCUGUGAUGCCCUUAGAUGUCCGGGGCUGCACGCGCGCUACACUGGAAGAAUCAGCUGGUAUUCCAUUGCCGAAAGGUAUUGGUAAACCGUUGAAACUCUUCCGUGACCGGGAUAGGGAAUUGUAAUUAUUUCCCUUGAACGAGGAAUUCCUAGUAAGUGUGAGUCAUCAGCUCACGUUGAUUACGUCCCUGCCCUUUGUACUGAGCG